CUAUAUUAUAGACCCCUGUCUCUGCCCCUUCCCAGCAUGCUUUGUUAAGAGGAGAUUGACAGGCGUACUUCCCUUCCCCCUAGGCUUUCAGAAGCUCAAGGUUGCUUUGCACUGUCUUAAACUCCUUUAAAAGGGCUCACAUUCUGGCAAGAGUUAGAAGCACCCACCCAAAAGUCCAUGCCCAGCAGAGGGAACCUGGGACAGAAGACCACCCCUACUCCAACUCUGCAGACCCUCCAUGACAGGAUAACAGGAAAAUGCAACCUCUUCUGAAGAAAGAGUAGGUGGGCUUCUAAAAUGCUGCACUGCAUGAUGUCCAGUAGGAGGAUCUCCUUUCAGACAGGAAGAUGGAUGAGCUGUCAUCAAUUUCCCUCAUAUUCUGCCAUGCGGGACUCCAGUAAGAUGGCCAAAGGACAGUUCUGGUUUGUUUAACACAAGAUAAAGAUAUACAAAAGGUGAUUUUCAGCAAAGAAAAUUGUCAAUGUGGCAAACUAUUUGAGACCUUAUUCUGGAAGCACAAAUCAAUUAGUGUAACUCACAGUCAUGAAUAGCAUCUAGCUACUGAAAGAGUGAGUAGCAACCACAUUAAAACAGUCACGUUCCUCAUAUUGUUAUUUUAACUUUUAGUUAAUUUACCAUAUUACUUGUACCAACAGCUAAUCAGAGUGUGACCACUUCUGCGCAAUGUGUCUUAAACGCAUUUUUAAGCCAAUGUAAAUGUCUGCUAUUUUAUUCAGUGUGUGACUCAUAACAUGCUGAAGCAGAAGGGCCAAAUUCACUUCUGGCAUAAGCUGGUGUCACUCAGUUUAAAUCAAUGGCAAUGCACUCACUUAGCCCAGCAAUGAAUUGGCUUCCCCGUCUUUACUUGGAGUGCUUUGUAUUUAGACAUUUAUUUUUAGUUUAUGAAUUAUUACAUAUGAAACAGGCUAGUUUACCAACCCAGGAGAAUGAAAUGGUUUAGCUGUAGGACAGAUGCAGCACGAGCAGCCAUAUUAAACAGUUCCCUAUAUUGUAUCGUAACCAGAAGCUAAAGAAACCACCCAAAAAAAAAAAAAAACCUUAUACAUGGUAUGUAUGAUGGGUAAGGACUAAAUGAGCCGGGAAACUAAACUCUGCCCUUGCACUUAGGUUUUGUGUAUACCAGACAAAUUGGCAAAAAAAAAUCCCACCAGUGCCACUUCCAGUUCAACAGUCUCAAUGGCUGCCUUGGGAAAUCUCUCACCAGAGCUGAUACUCAUUUGCUUCUCCAGUGGUCGCCCUGAUCUAGGCAAGAUUCCAAUGGUUUCAGGUGUUACCACCAUCCUUAUCUACAGAAGCACGCUCAUCAAUGCCAUUGUUGGAAACAUUGCGGCUAAUAUCCCCUAGUGUAGACAAAGCCUAGGCAUGAAGACAUAGUUUACUACCUGCACAUUCAGUCCUCAGCCUCUAUGAUGGGACUGCCAUCACUUCCCCUUGGUUUUUGUGACCUAGAUACUUGGCCACAAGGAUGUGGACCGUCACCUCAUUUAACUUGGCCACUGAACAAACAGCCAGCAGAAAGUAAUGACUUAUGAUUUAGGUUUAACUUGAUCCAGUAUAUGAUGAAGCCAAAGAUACCAUACCCCAUUACCUUGUCCCAGCCAGUCUCCUAUAUGGUUGAUAGAGGUGUUUAAAAAGGUGAAUCUCCAAAAUUAAAACUAUAGUAUCAAGCUUUUACAAAGCUGAGGGAUGCAGCCAGGAGAAAGAGAAUGAAUCAGGUUUCCUCUUGAAGCCAAAAACUUGAACUGAUGAUAUGAAAAGAGAGACAUCCUUACGGACACUCAAGCUUUGCCUUUAUGUUCUCCAGUUUACGAAGUCUGCAUCUUAUUAUAUCAUUAGCUCUUUACUUUUUAAUGAAUGUAAUCCCACAGCUCCCACAGUAAGCACACUACACAAUCUGUCCCCAGAAAUUAUCUCCCUCUGUCCUUUUAUAAAAACCCUCUGACAAACAAACAACUGAUCCAUACUUGACACAUGUAUCCAUGUAACUAACACAAUUUGCCAAAGGGCAAAAAAACUCUAAGCUCUAUUUAUUUGCCUUGUUGCUGAGUAACCUCAAUGCUGACGACUAAAGUCAAGCAGUGAGCUAUAAGAAGAUGGCAUGCGUCUCCUAAACUCACCCCCACUGCAAGCAAUGGAGCUGCCAUUUUGCUAUUCAGCUUUAAUUUCCCUGUCUCACAGCCUCAUAAGUAAAUAAAGACUGACUUCGUGUCAGAAAUAGCAGUAUUUAACUGUAGAGUUUAAAAAGUAUGGUAAUUAAGAGUGCCACAAGUCACAGGUGUGUACAAUCCUAACAGAUUGUAGGGUUUGUCUUUUUGAACCUCUCAGCACGUUUAGAAACUGGAGGCAAACAACAAAAGGUGUUAAUAGCUUUAUGGGGAGCACCAUGCUGAUAGAUUACCCAUUAUGGUUACCCACUCACAGUGAAAUAGCAAAUAGGUUUGAUCAAUUAGAUUUUAAUGUAAAGUGGGGUUUGAAAAAACAGCAAUGAGCAGAGAGACCUUUUGUUGCUAAUGUGUCUGGGAAAAA
Molecule: long non-coding RNA, 2547 nt
Organism: Mauremys mutica (yellowpond turtle)
Lineage: Eukaryota; Metazoa; Chordata; Testudines; Geoemydidae
Exons: 3
Source: RefSeq, a predicted model, not a curated record